This 116-nucleotide ribosomal RNA is filed under the name Escherichia coli. Lineage: Bacteria; Pseudomonadati; Pseudomonadota; Gammaproteobacteria; Enterobacterales; Enterobacteriaceae. The record is from RNAcentral. RNAcentral also lists the same sequence under 3 other names.
UCUGGCGGCCUUAGCGCGGUGGUCCCACCUGACCCCAUGCCGAACUCAGAAGUGAAACGCCGUAGCGCCGAUGGUAGUGUGGGGUCUCCCCAUGCGAGAGUAGGGAACUGCCAGGC